This 468-nucleotide ribosomal RNA is filed under the name uncultured bacterium. Its description in RNAcentral is "partial 16S ribosomal RNA". It matches the Rfam family "Bacterial small subunit ribosomal RNA", at positions 28 to 507 of the family's 1533-position model. The record is from RNAcentral.
GACGAACGCUGGCGGCGUGCUUAACACAUGCAAGUCGAACGGAAAGGCCCUGCUUUUGUGGGGUGCUCGAGUGGCGAACGGGUGAGUAACACGUGAGUAACCUGCCCUUGACUUUGGGAUAACUUCAGGAAACUGGGGCUAAUACCGGAUAGGAGCUCCUGCUGCAUGGUGGGGGUUGGAAAGUUUCGGCGGUUGGGGAUGGACUCGCGGCUUAUCAGCUUGUUGGUGGGGUAGUGGCUUACCAAGGCUUUGACGGGUAGCCGGCCUGAGAGGGUGACCGGCCACAUUGGGACUAAGAUACGGCCCAGACUCCUACGGGAGGCAGCAAUAGAGAAUAAUGCACAAUGGGCGGAAGCCUGAUGCAGCAACGCCGCGUGCGGGAUGACGGCCUUCGGGUUGUAAACCGCUUUCGCCUGUGACGAAGCGUGAGUGACGGUAAUGGGUAAAGGAGCACCGGCUAACUACGUG